GAUUUCUGGUUGGAUGCGCCUGGCCCGCCAUGGUUUCAUGUGUGAGUGCCGGUUGUGCGUCUACCAUCCUUCUAGUACUAUAAGUAUUAAGUAAUUAAUCUUAUAGAGCUAGAUCUUUUACUUUGAAAAAAUUAGAGUGUUUCAAGCAGGCAUGUUGCUAUGAAUACAUUAGCAUGGAAUAAUAAUUUAGGACUUCGGUUCUAUUUUGUUGGUUUCUAGAACUGCAGUAAUGAUUGAUAGGGAUAGUUGGGGGUGCUAGUAUUCAGUGGCCAGAGGUGAAAUUCUCGGAUUCACUGAAGACUAACUUAUGCGAAAGCAUU
Molecule: ribosomal RNA, 320 nt
Filed under: Cercozoa sp.
Lineage: Eukaryota; Cercozoa
Description: SSU rRNA
Rfam family: Eukaryotic small subunit ribosomal RNA
Source: RNAcentral